CCUACGGGAGGCAGCAGUGGGGAAUUUUGGACAAUGGGCGCAAGCCUGAUCCAGCAAUGCCGCGUGAGUGAAGAAGGCCUUCGGGUUGUAAAGCUCUUUUGUCGGGGAAGAAACGGUUGGGGCUAAUAUCCUCAGCUAAUGACGGUACCUGAAGAAUAAGCACCGGCUAACUACGUGCCAGCAGCCGCGGUAAUACGUAGGGUGCAAGCGUUAAUCGGAAUUACUGGGCGUAAAGCGUGCGCAGGCGGUUUUGUAAGUCUGUCGUGAAAGCCCCGGGCUUAACCUGGGAAUUGCGAUGGAGACUGCAAGGCUUGAAUCUGGCAGAGGGGGGUAGAAUUCCACGUGUAGCAGUGAAAUGCGUAGAGAUGUGGAGGAACACCGAUGGCGAAGGCAGCCCCCUGGGUCAAGAUUGACGCUCAUGCACGAAAGCGUGGGGAGCAAAACAGGAUUAGAUACCCUGGUAGUCCACGCCCUAAAACGAUGUCUACUAGUUGUCGGGUCUUAAAUUGACUUGGUAAACGCAGCUAACGCGUGAAGUAGACCGCCUGGGGAGUACGGUCGCAAAGAUUAAAAACCUCAAAAGAAGUAGUAGACGCGAGAGAGACGACGACGACGACAGAGGAGGAGG
This 628-nucleotide ribosomal RNA is filed under the name uncultured bacterium. RNAcentral describes it as "bacterial SSU rRNA". It matches the Rfam family "Bacterial small subunit ribosomal RNA", at positions 338 to 956 of the family's 1533-position model. The record is from RNAcentral.